GAUGAACGCUGGCGGCGUGCCUAAUACAUGCAAGUCGAGCGAACAGACGAGGAGCUUGCUCCUUUGACGUUAGCGGCGGACGGGUGAGUAACACGUGGGUAACCUACCUAUAAGACUGGGAUAACUUCGGGAAACCGGAGCUAAUACCGGAUAAUAUUUCGAACCGCAUGGUUCGAUAGUGAAAGGUGGCUUUGCUAUCACUUAUAGAUGGACCUGCGCCGUAUUAGCUAGUUGGUAAGGUAACGGCUUACCAAGGCAACGAUACGUAGCCGACCUGAGAGGGUGAUCGGCCACACUGGAACUGAGACACGGUCCAGACUCCUACGGGAGGCAGCAGUAGGGAAUCUUCCGCAAUGGGCGAAAGCCUGACGGAGCAACGCCGCGUGAGUGAUGAAGGUCUUCGGAUCGUAAAACUCUGUUAUUAGGGAAGAACAAACGUGUAAGUAACUGUGCACGUCUUGACGGUACCUAAUCAGAAAGCCACGGCUAACUACGUG
This 497-nucleotide ribosomal RNA is filed under the name uncultured bacterium. Its description in RNAcentral is "partial 16S ribosomal RNA". It matches the Rfam family "Bacterial small subunit ribosomal RNA", at positions 28 to 507 of the family's 1533-position model. The record is from RNAcentral.